Molecule: ribosomal RNA, 253 nt
Filed under: uncultured bacterium
Lineage: Bacteria
Description: partial 16S ribosomal RNA
Rfam family: Bacterial small subunit ribosomal RNA
Source: RNAcentral
UACGUAGGGGGCAAGCGUUGUCCGGAAUCAUUGGGCGUAAAGAGCGUGUAGGCGGCCCGGUAAGUCCGCUGUGAAAGUCCAGGGCUCAACCCUGGGAUGCCGGUGGAUACUGUCGGGCUCGAGUCCGGAAGAGGAGUGUGGAAUUCCUGGUGUAGCGGUGAAAUGCGCAGAUAUCAGGAGGAACACCAAUGGCGAAGGCAGCACUCUGGGACGUGACUGACGCUCAGGCACGAAAGCGUGGGGAGCAAACAGG